Molecule: long non-coding RNA, 492 nt
Organism: Eptesicus fuscus (big brown bat)
Lineage: Eukaryota; Metazoa; Chordata; Mammalia; Chiroptera; Vespertilionidae
Exons: 5
Source: RefSeq, a predicted model, not a curated record
CCCGCGGCCGCCGGACAGUUCCCAGCCCGAGCCGGAGAAGGCCGGUCCUCGCCGGUCGGAGGACGCGACCCCCCCAGACCAGAACCCGCCGAGAACACGGUCAGGAAAUCAAAACAGAACCCUCCCGCGAACAGGGAUGGACUCGGAGGUGCCAGUCAGAGCAGAGAUGCCUCGAGUUCUACGCAUAGCCACAGUCCAGCAAGCAGUGAAUCGAUUUAAAAGAUGUAUGAUCGAACAACAAGAAGUGUUUGCAUACAUUCAAUACUGACAGGAGGAGCAAAGGAACAGGUCUUGGAGUUAAGUCAACAGGAGAAGAGUCCAGUGAGGUCACAGAUGAGCUUCCUGGCUGCUGAAAGCUUGCUGGCAGCUGAGCUGAUGCCCAGGGAAACUGGAAGGUUUCUUCUGGAGCAACCAUCUGAUCCAAAGAGAGCUGUUUGUUGUUACUGACCUUUGGUGGCCCCAAUAAAAUGGUAAGUCCCUACCUAACCAUCC